GUGCUAGCUUUGGCAGCACCUAUACUAAAACUGGAAUGAAACAGAGAAGAUUAGCAUGGCCCCUGCGCAUGGAUGACACGAAAGUUCAUGAAGCGUUCCAUAUUAAA
RNAcentral lists this small nuclear RNA (107 nucleotides) under Sus scrofa (pig). Lineage: Eukaryota; Metazoa; Chordata; Mammalia; Artiodactyla; Suidae. RNAcentral also lists the same sequence under 1 other name. The record is from RNAcentral.